RNAcentral lists this long non-coding RNA (4351 nucleotides) under Podarcis lilfordi (Lilford's wall lizard). The record is from RNAcentral. Lineage: Eukaryota; Metazoa; Chordata; Lepidosauria; Squamata; Lacertidae.
GGAAAAAGAAAAAGAAAACAAACAAACCAACAAACAAACAUUUAUCCUGAUUAUAAUAAUUCCACUUUUGUUAACAUUGUUAGUUGACUUCCUCAAAUCCCCCUGUCUGAGUUUCCACAUAAACCAUUGUAACAGUUUUCCAAAACUAUUUCCCCAUAAACUUUACUUGGUCAAUUAACAUCUUACUUUCUUUUCAUUUUUAAUUUUAACAUAAUAUUUUACACAUCGCAUUUUCAAAUCCUAGGCCUAUCUGGUACUCGCAAGUAAUUCUAAUUAGAUUAUCUUAAGAUAUUUAGCUAAAUAGUCUUUGAAUUUCUUCCAUUCCUUUUGGUGCUCCUCCUCCCUCUGGUCAUGGACUUUUCUGGUCAAGAGUCUACGAUUCUUGAGUUCUCGUUGUUCUGUUUGGGGAAAGGGUUGUGAAUAAAUGAAUUGUCCUUAGAGUGCUGUAUACAUACAGCAAUUAUUGUUUAUUAUUUACAGAGUACCAUCAGAAUGCAUGGGGUUUUUCCUAGUACACAUGGGAAGGUCUCUGCCCCCAAGACCUGACAGCCUGCAAUCUGACACAGGGAGACAGCAGAAGAUGGAGAGGAAAGUUGAAGCAGAGGUGAAUGGGUGCUGUAAUUACCAACUCACUACCAGGGGAACUAAAGGCUUGUACUUAAGACUCCAUGGAAAAAGUUGGUUUUAAGAGGGGUUUUGAAGGGACUUAGGGAAGUGGGCGGAUGCGGGUGGCGCUGUGGGUUAAACCACAGAGCCUAGGACUUGCCGAUCAGAAGGUUGGUGGUUCGAAUCCCCGCCACGGGGUGAGCGCCCGUUGCUCGGUCCCUGCUCCUGCCAACCUAGCAGCUUGAAAGCACAUCAAAGUGCAAGUAGAUAAAUAGGUACCACUCCGGCGGGAAGGUAAACGCCGUUUCCGUGCACUGCUCUGGUUUCACCAGAAGCGGCUUAGUCAUGCUGGCCACAUGACCCGGAAAAACUGUCUGCGGACAAACGCCGGCUCCCUCGGCCAGUAAAGUGAAAUGAGUGCGUCAUCUGCGGCUGGACUUAACUGUCAGGGGUCCUUUACCUUUACCUUUUAGGGAAGUGGGGACCAUGCAGGUUUUCUGGGAGUUAAGUCCCAAGCACAUGGGGGCAACAAGGCAGAAAUGAUGGAGCCUUUCCUGGGAGACGGAGGCCUUCGGAUGGCAGAGCUGGCGCAGCAGAAGCCACAUGCAAAGAUAGAUUGGGAUGUAAAAGGGGAGAGAUUGCAACGGGGAGGAGAGGAGGAGACUGUGGAGUUGAGUCACAAUGAAUGCACCAGCAGUGUUGGAGUGAUUAAAGCUGGAAUGCAGGAACAGCCAGCAGUUGCAAAGAUUGUUAUCAGGCAAGAUAGCAAAUUUGGACUGAUAGCCUGAAGGUCAAAGAUUGCUCCGAAGGCCCAGGGCUGCGGCUAAAUAGCAGAGCAUGUAUUGUGCAUGCCAGAAGUUCUAGGUUCAAUUCCCGCUAUCUCCAGGUAAGUCUGGGGAAAGACUCCUGCCUGCAAAUCCUGGAGGGUUGCUGCCAGACAGCGUAGGCGAUACUGAACUGAAUGCAUAUGGCUGUUUCAUAUGUUCCAAUAGGUUUCAUGAGAAUAGUAUGGGGAUGCGGGUGGCGCUGUGGUCUAAACCACUGAGCCUCUUGGGCUUGCCAAUCAGAAGGUUGGUGGUUCGAAUCCCUGCGACGGGGGUGAGCUCCCGUUGCUCUGUCCCUGCUCCUGCCAACCAAGCAGUUUGAAAGCACACCAGUGCAAGUAGAUCAAUAGGUACCACUGCAGCAGGAAGGUAAAUGGCGUUUCCAUGUGCUCUGGUUUCUGUCACUGUGUCCUGUUGUACCAGAAGUGGUUUAGUCAUGCUGGCCACUUGACCCGGAAAUCUGUCUGUGGACAAACACCGGCUCCCUUGGCCUGAAUCGAGAUGAGUGCUGCAACCGCAUAGUCGCCUUUGAUUGGACUUAACCGUCCAGGGGCCCUCUACCCAUUUUUAUGGGAAACCUGCAAAAAGGACUUGAAUGCAACAGUGCUCUCUUUCUCUCUCCCCCCCCCCCCCCCCGCAAUUCCCAUCAGAGGCAGCCUGGGGCUAAUCGCUAGUAAGUAAAGGUAAAGGGACCCUUGACCAUUAGGUCCAGUCGUGGCCGACUCUGGGGUUGGGGUGCUCAUCUCGCUUUAUUGGCUGAGGGAGCCGGCGUACAGCUUCCAGGUCAUGUGGCCAGCAUGACUAAGCCACUUCUGGCGAACCAGAGCAGCACACAGAAACACCAUUUACCUUCCCACUGGAGCAGUACCUAUUUAUCUACUUGCACUAUGACGUGCUUUCGAACUGCUAGGUUGGCAGGAGAAGAGACCGAGCAAUGGGAGCUCACCCUGUUGUGGGGAUUCGAACCGCCGACCUUCUGAUCGGCAAGUCCUAGGCUCUGUGGUUUAACCCACAGCGCCACCCACAUCCUAGUCUCUAGUAGCUGUUGUUAAUUAAGGUUUUGAGUUUUCCAUUACCCUUCGCCAGGACCGGUGCAGAAUGAAAUGUUUGUAUGCACAUGGGUUAGUUGGUAUAUAAAAUGUGGGACAUGCUAUGCCACCCUCAAAGUCUGCGAUUAUAACAAUUUUAAGAUGAUGGAGUUUUGAAGAUGAUUUCCAUGUUGGCUGUGGAGGGAGAGGAACCUGUCUGGCCUCAGAUCUGCCCCUCCUCCUCCACCAGCUUUUUUUCCCUAGAAGUGAAUUUUGGUUUUUUUGCUAGCUGGCUAAGCUGCUAGUCCCCUGUGUUUCCACGAUGGCUACCGAGAAAAGAGGGGUCUGCAGCAAGGACAGAAGCACAAGCUACUAGCUCUUAAAAGAUUAAUGAAAACAUGUGUAGGCCGGUAACUUUUGAGGACUGUGGUUUGUUAAGGGGGCUGGGAACUGUAGCCCUUUGGGGAAUAAACUACAGUUCCCAGGAUUCUUAGCAAAGGCAGUAAUACGAUUUAAAUUUAUGGUGCGUAUGCAGCCUUGCUCUUAUCUUCACUGUUUAUCCUCCCUCUCUAGAAUAUAAUUAAUAUAUAAUGAAGGAAAAAAUUCAAAUGCUGAUUUCAAAGUAACUAUGUCCUUUAUAGAACCUUAAUAAGAGAAUAUACACAUGGAUUUACGUGCUCUGUGCUUUCCACGCUUCCAUUUCCUGCUUAAACUUGUGAGCAGUUGAUUUUAAGAUUUGGCCCCAACAGUGAUCUCCGAAGCAGAUAUAUUUAUUGUGCUGCAAUGCCCCCUGGUGGAAUAUGAAAGAUCUACAGCAGACUAGAAUACAUUGCCAUGACCGUUGAAUUGUAGAUGACUGUUUCUCUAAAUCUUUUGUUUACCUAUUUUACGGAAAUUACGGGGGGGGGCACAUCUUUAAAGUUGUUAAAUGUUACAAAUAUUAUGCAUAAAUGUAUCCUUUUGACUUGACGGCUCAGGGCAGUUACCUAGCUUUAAAAAUCAUAUUAAAUCAAUUGGAAGAAGCAAGAUUUACCAACUAUCGAAGAAUGGCAGAUGAAGAUGAUGGACUAUAUGGAACUUGCCGAACUGACUGGGAGACUCCGAGACCAGAGAGAAGAGACGGUGGAAGAAGAUUGGAAGGCGUUUAAAGAAUAUUUGAAAAAAUAUGUUAAUAUUUAAAUCUUAGAAUAGCUUUAGAAGUGGAUAUAGGCUGUACGGUUAGAAGUAGAAGAUAGUGUAUUUUAAAAUAGUAUUAUUUGUAGGUGAUAAAAUGUGAAGAUUUUUAUGGUAAAAGUAAGCGUGAUAAAAAAAAUGGUUAGAAAUUAUGAUAUAUGUAAUCUGCUAAAGAUGAGGUAAAAUGAAAAUCAGAUGGGGGGACUUGGGGAAGUUCAUCUAACAAUGUUUAGAAAAAAUAAGGAUAAGACAAGAAUUUGUUUGUAUUGUUUGUUUUUCUGUUUGUGUUGUUUAGUUGUGUUAUAAAAUGAAUUAAAAAAUUGGGGAGGGGGAAUCAACUCCUUUGCCAGUUUCCUUCAUUCCACCGCCAAUUUGCUUCAUUGGCCAAGGACUUGGAAACCACUCGGUCCCCGGCAUAAUCCCUCAAGCGGGAGGUCAGUACUCACAGGAAGGUACUUAUAGAUGUCAAUCACUGGGCAAAGGCACUCCUCCAGACUUGCCCAGGUGGCAGACUAUGCAAACCAAAGUUCUAUUGUCCUCUUUCAGUGGGUGCUUAGAAUGUACUUCCCAAUACAUAUCCUGUAUCCGCCUGUUGCCCCAACACAUUCCUCCUAUGUUAAUCAUGUAUAACCCUCCCCUUUUCUGAUAUAGCAAUGAUGUUGUGAUGGUGCUUAAUGAACUGUAUGCUGGGAUAAGAUCGAAACUUUUAAAAGUCCUUGU